This 1361-nucleotide ribosomal RNA is filed under the name Pediococcus pentosaceus. RNAcentral's name for it is "bacterial SSU rRNA". It matches the Rfam family "Bacterial small subunit ribosomal RNA", at positions 82 to 1433 of the family's 1533-position model. Lineage: Bacteria; Bacillati; Bacillota; Bacilli; Lactobacillales; Lactobacillaceae. The record is from RNAcentral.
UAACACGAAGUGAGUGGCGAACGGGUGAGUAACACGUGGGUAACCUGCCCAGAAGCAGGGGAUAACACCUGGAAACAGAUGCUAAUACCGUAUAACAGAGAAAACCGCAUGGUUUUCUUUUAAAAGAUGGCUCUGCUAUCACUUCUGGAUGGACCCGCGGCGUAUUAGCUAGUUGGUGAGGCAAAGGCUCACCAAGGCAGUGAUACGUAGCCGACCUGAGAGGGUAAUCGGCCACAUUGGGACUGAGACACGGCCCAGAUCCUACGGGAGGCAGCAGUAGGAAUCUUCCACAAUGGACGCAAGUCUGAUGGAGCAACGCCGCGUGAGUGAAGAAGGGUUUCGGCUCGUAAAGCUCUGUUGUUAAAGAAGAACGUGGGUAAGAGUAACUGUUUACCCAGUGACGGUAUUUAACCAGAAAGCCACGGCUAACUACGUGCCAGCAGCCGCGGUAAUACGUAGGUGGCAAGCGUUAUCCGGAUUUAUUGGGCGUAAAGCGAGCGCAGGCGGUCUUUUAAGUCUAAUGUGAAAGCCUUCGGCUCAACCGAAGAAGUGCAUUGGAAACUGGGAGACUUGAGUGCAGAAGAGGACAGUGGAACUCCAUGUGUAGCGGUGAAAUGCGUAGAUAUAUGGAAGAACACCAGUGGCGAAGGCGGCUGUCUGGUCUGCAACUGACGCUGAGGCUCGAAAGCAUGGGUAGCGAACAGGAUUAGAUACCCUGGUAGUCCAUGCCGUAAACGAUGAUUACUAAGUGUUGGAGGGUUUCCGCCCUUCAGUGCUGCAGCUAACGCAUUAAGUAAUCCGCCUGGGGAGUACGACCGCAAGGUUGAAACUCAAAAGAAUUGACGGGGGCCCGCACAAGCGGUGGAGCAUGUGGUUUAAUUCGAAGCUACGCGAAGAACCUUACCAGGUCUUGACAUCUUCUGACAGUCUAAGAGAUUAGAGGUUCCCUUCGGGGACAGAAUGACAGGUGGUGCAUGGUUGUCGUCAGCUCGUGUCGUGAGAUGUUGGGUUAAGUCCCGCAACGAGCGCAACCCUUAUUACUAGUUGCCAGCAUUAAGUUGGGCACUCUAGUGAGACUGCCGGUGACAAACCGGAGGAAGGUGGGGACGACGUCAAAUCAUCAUGCCCCUUAUGACCUGGGCUACACACGUGCUACAAUGGAUGGUACAACGAGUCGCGAAACCGCGAGGUUAAGCUAAUCUCUUAAAACCAUUCUCAGUUCGGACUGUAGGCUGCAACUCGCCUACACGAAGUCGGAAUCGCUAGUAAUCGCGGAUCAGCAUGCCGCGGUGAAUACGUUCCCGGGCCUUGUACACACCGCCCGUCACACCAUGAGAGUUUGUAACACCCAAAGCCGGUGG